CCAAUAAAUCAUGAACUUUUAACUUCCAAAGUUCAAAGUUUCUCUUUCCAUCAAAUUUGUCCACUUCCAAUCGAUUUGUUGCCAUUGAGACAAUUUAUCGAACACCUUGCACUCAACCUUGAAGCUCUGAUACCAAUUGUAGUGAGCUAAUGACGGAACCCUCACUAUCAAGAUACUAAUCACACUAGUAAGCAAAUGUGAUGUAUCUAAAUUAUCCACAACCAAGAUAUGCAAGAUUGGAGUAAAUAAAGUUGAAAGAGAAAAAUCCAAGCACAAGCACAACAACAACACAAGAUUUACGUGGUUCACCCAAACCGGGCUACAUCCACGGGCACGGAGAGAUCAAAUCCACUAUCAAAUGAGGAGAUUACAAGAUUUGGUUAGAGAUUACCACUCUAUCAUAAUGGGCUUACAACCUUGCAAUGGAAAUCCCUUCUUGCUACACCUUCUUUGAAGCACCUUCCGAUUCUGCGAAUCCCGCUUCGGAAUACCUCUUAGAAUUCCUCCAAUCUACCUUGGAAGUCUUUGAAUCAAGCAAGAAGAACAAGGGAGCUCCUUCUCCAACCCUCUCUACACCUCUCUUCUCUAUUACAAGAAAAGGGAAAACCUAGAGAGCAAAAAAUGAGAAUUCACUCUCUCUAACCCAAAGAGUUCUCUCUUAACACCACUUGGCCCAACAUACCAAAUGGGUCAACUAAAGCCCAAACCAAAUACUAACUAGCCCAUUACAUGAGUUGUUGAACCAAACUCAAAAUAAAACCAAUUAGGCUAAUAAGUGAAUUUGAUAUCACUAACCCAACAGAUUUUACUGAGAUGCAAAGAGUUGAGGGUAAUCGGCGCCAAGGGAAGAGGCGGAGAGGUUUGAGCAAAUUAAUAUUAUUAUUAUUGUUAUUAUAUUUAGGAUAAACUUCAAAUAUCACCCCCGUGGUUUCGCAAGUUCUCACUUUAGUACCCUGUGAUUUAAAGUGUAUCAAGUUAGUGUCAUGUGGUUUUAUUUUUAUCUUUUCGUCAGCUUUUCCGUUAAUAUUUUAUUAAAUUAUAUACAAAAAAACUUGAGAUACCCCACAUAGAUUUAUCGAAUAUUCGCUUUAAUACUCUUUAGUUUUAACUUUGUCACUGAUUUAACGAAAAAAAUUAGUAGAAUUGAUAAUAAAAAAAUAAAAAUAAAAUCACAGGACACUAAAUUCAUACACUUUAAACCACUGGGUACUAAAGUAAGAAAGUGUGAAACCACAGGGGUGGUAUUUCAAGUUUUUUCUUAUAUUUAUUAGUAUUAAGGAUUAAUUUCGUACAUAUUCCUGCAAAGGUGUGAAAUAGUAAAUAUAUCCAUACAAAACUUAAGUUAUUAAAUUUAUUUCUUUAAAAAUUUUCUGAUUUGCAAAUAUAUUUUUUCAAAAGUUCUAGUUCAUUCGGAUAUGUCCCCGCCAUUUGAUUUGCCAUUAAUUUUUUUUAAAGAUGGGUGCAUAAAAUUACCAUUUUACUCUUAUAAAUUUGUCCCUAUAAAAAAUUAUUUUUCUUUCUCUCUCUCUCUCUCUCCUAGCCUUUGCCGCAGCAUGUGUGGCAUACCUCAUUUUUGCCGCGACUGAGAAUCUCACCUUCGACGUUGCCGCUGUUGUAGGUUUUACUGUUGCCAUAGAUAAAAAGGAGAGGGUGAGACAGAUGACGAAAAUUUAACAUUAGAAUACAAAUUAUAUAUAU
Molecule: long non-coding RNA, 1698 nt
Filed under: Ananas comosus (pineapple)
Lineage: Eukaryota; Viridiplantae; Streptophyta; Magnoliopsida; Poales; Bromeliaceae
Description: long non-coding RNA (ACOM_LNC024598)
Source: RNAcentral